GAUGAACGCUGGCGGCGUGCCUAAUACAUGCAAGUAGAGCGAACGGACGAGAAGUUUGCUUCUCUGAUGUUAGCGGCGGACGGGUGAGUAACACGGGGAUAACCUACCUAUAAGACUGGGAUAACUUCGGGAAACCGGAGCUAAUACCGGAUAAUAUUUUGAACCGCAUGGUUCAAAAGUGAAAGACGGUCUUGCUGUCACUUAUAGAUGGAUCCGCGCUGCAUUAGCUAGUUGGUAAGGUAACGGCUUACCAAGGCAACGAUUCAUAGCCGCCCUGGGAGGUUGAUCGGCCACACUGGAACUGAGACACGGUCCAGACUCCUACGGGAGGCAGAAGUAGGGAAUCUUCCGCAAUGGGCGAAGGCCUGACGGAGCAACGCCGCGUGAGUGAUGAAGGUCUUCGGAUCGUAAAACUCUGUUAUUAGGGAGGAACAUAUGUGUAAGUAACUGUGCACAUCUUGACGUUACCUAAUCAGAAAGCCACGGCUAACUACGUG
RNAcentral lists this ribosomal RNA (497 nucleotides) under uncultured bacterium. Its description in RNAcentral is "partial 16S ribosomal RNA". It matches the Rfam family "Bacterial small subunit ribosomal RNA", at positions 28 to 507 of the family's 1533-position model. The record is from RNAcentral.